CCCGAUAGGGUCUCGAUUGCUGGGAAUGCAUCGAGAUUUAAAGCUCCCGGCGCCUAAGGAUGGGUCUGCGGCCUAUCAGGUAGUAGUGGGUGUAGCGUACAUACUAGCCUACGACGGGUACGGGUUGUGAGAGCAAGAGCCCGGAGAUGGAUUCUGAGACACGAAUCCAGGCCCUACGGGGUGCAGCAGGCGCGAAAACUUUACAAUGCUGGCAACAGCGAUAAGGGAACCUCGAGUGCCAGGUUACAAAUCUGGCUGUCGAGAUGCCUAAAAAGCAUUUCAUAGCAAGGGCCGGGCAAGACCGGUGCCAGCCGCCGCGGUAACACCGGCGGCUCGAGUGGUAACCGUUAUUAUUGGGUCUAAAGGGUCUGUAGCCGGCCGGAUAAGUCUCUUGAGAAAUCUGGCAGCUUAACUGUCAGGCUUUCAGGAGAUACUGUCUGGCUCGAGGCCGGGAGAGGUGAGAGGUACUUCAGGGGUAGGGGUGAAAUCUUGUAAUCCUUGAAGGACCACCAGUGGCGAAGGCGUCUCACCAGAACGGACCUGACGGCAAGGGACGAAAGCUAGGGGCACGAACCGGAUUAGAUACCCGGGUAGUCCUAGCCGUAAACGAUACUCGCUAGGUGUCGGCCACGGUGCGACCGUUGUCGGUGCCGUAGGGAAGCCGUGAAGCGAGCCACCUGGGAAGUACGGCCGCAAGGCUGAAACUUAAAGGAAUUGGCGGGGGAGCACCACAACGGGUGGAGCUUGCGGUUUAAUUGGAUUCAACGCCGGGA
This 773-nucleotide ribosomal RNA is filed under the name uncultured Methanosaeta sp. RNAcentral describes it as "bacterial SSU rRNA". It matches the Rfam family "Archaeal small subunit ribosomal RNA", at positions 152 to 923 of the family's 1478-position model. The record is from RNAcentral. Lineage: Archaea; Methanobacteriati; Methanobacteriota; Methanomicrobia; Methanotrichales; Methanotrichaceae.